RNAcentral lists this ribosomal RNA (440 nucleotides) under uncultured bacterium. RNAcentral describes it as "partial 16S ribosomal RNA". It matches the Rfam family "Bacterial small subunit ribosomal RNA", at positions 338 to 795 of the family's 1533-position model. The record is from RNAcentral.
CCUACGGGUGGCAGCAGUAGGGCAUUUUGCGCAAUGGGCGAAAGCCUGACGCAGCAACGCCGCGUGAACGAGACGGCCUUCGGGGUGUAAAGUUCUGUUAGUGGGGACGAAAGAUGACGGUACCCAAAGAGGACGCACCGUCUAACUCCGUGCCAGCAGCCGCGGUAAUAAGGAGGGUGCAAGCGUUGUCCGGAAUCAUUGGGCGUAAAGAGUUCGUGGGCGGUAUGUUAAGUCUGGUGUUAAAUGGAUAAGCUCAACUUCUGUUCGGCACUGGAUACUGGCAAACUAGAAUGCGGUAGAGGUAAAGGGAAUUCCGUGUGUAGCGGUGAAAUGCUUAGAUAGCAGGAGGAACAUCGGUGGCGAAAGCGCUUUACUGGGCCGUAAUUGACGCUGAGGAACGAAAGCCAGGGUAGCAAAUGGGAUUAGAUACCCUUGUAGUC